This 2642-nucleotide ribosomal RNA is filed under the name Escherichia coli. RNAcentral's name for it is "partial 23S ribosomal RNA". It matches the Rfam family "Bacterial large subunit ribosomal RNA", at positions 296 to 2925 of the family's 2925-position model. The record is from RNAcentral. Lineage: Bacteria; Pseudomonadati; Pseudomonadota; Gammaproteobacteria; Enterobacterales; Enterobacteriaceae.
AGCCCAGAGCCUGAAUCAGUGUGUGUGUUAGUGGAAGCGUCUGGAAAGGCGCGCGAUACAGGGUGACAGCCCCGUACACAAAAAUGCACAUGCUGUGAGCUCGAUGAGUAGGGCGGGACACGUGGUAUCCUGUCUGAAUAUGGGGGGACCAUCCUCCAAGGCUAAAUACUCCUGACUGACCGAUAGUGAACCAGUACCGUGAGGGAAAGGCGAAAAGAACCCCGGCGAGGGGAGUGAAAAAGAACCUGAAACCGUGUACGUACAAGCAGUGGGAGCACAGAGCAAUCUGUGUGACUGCGUACCUUUUGUAUAAUGGGUCAGCGACUUAUAUUCUGUAGCAAGGUUAACCGAAUAGGGGAGCCGAAGGGAAACCGAGUCUUAACUGGGCGUUAAGUUGCAGGGUAUAGACCCGAAACCCGGUGAUCUAGCCAUGGGCAGGUUGAAGGUUGGGUAACACUAACUGGAGGACCGAACCGACUAAUGUUGAAAAAUUAGCGGAUGACUUGUGGCUGGGGGUGAAAGGCCAAUCAAACCGGGAGAUAGCUGGUUCUCCCCGAAAGCUAUUUAGGUAGCGCCUCGUGAAUUCAUCUCCGGGGGUAGAGCACUGUUUCGGCAAGGGGGUCAUCCCGACUUACCAACCCGAUGCAAACUGCGAAUACCGGAGAAUGUUAUCACGGGAGACACACGGCGGGUGCUAACGUCCGUCGUGAAGAGGGAAACAACCCAGACCGCCAGCUAAGGUCCCAAAGUCAUGGUUAAGUGGGAAACGAUGUGGGAAGGCCCAGACAGCCAGGAUGUUGGCUUAGAAGCAGCCAUCAUUUAAAGAAAGCGUAAUAGCUCACUGGUCGAGUCGGCCUGCGCGGAAGAUGUAACGGGGCUAAACCAUGCACCGAAGCUGCGGCAGCGACGCUUAUGCGUUGUUGGGUAGGGGAGCGUUCUGUAAGCCUGCGAAGGUGUGCUGUGAGGCACGCUGGAGGUAUCAGAAGUGCGAAUGCUGACAUAAGUAACGAUAAAGCGGGUGAAAAGCCCGCUCGCCGGAAGACCAAGGGUUCCUGUCCAACGUUAAUCGGGGCAGGGUGAGUCGACCCCUAAGGCGAGGCCGAAAGGCGUAGUCGAUGGGAAACAGGUUAAUAUUCCUGUACUUGGUGUUACUGCGAAGGGGGGACGGAGAAGGCUAUGUUGGCCGGGCGACGGUUGUCCCGGUUUAAGCGUGUAGGCUGGUUUUCCAGGCAAAUCCGGAAAAUCAAGGCUGAGGCGUGAUGACGAGGCACUACGGUGCUGAAGCAACAAAUGCCCUGCUUCCAGGAAAAGCCUCUAAGCAUCAGGUAACAUCAAAUCGUACCCCAAACCGACACAGGUGGUCAGGUAGAGAAUACCAAGGCGCUUGAGAGAACUCGGGUGAAGGAACUAGGCAAAAUGGUGCCGUAACUUCGGGAGAAGGCACGCUGAUAUGUAGGUGAAGUCCCUCGCGGAUGGAGCUGAAAUCAGUCGAAGAUACCAGCUGGCUGCAACUGUUUAUUAAAAACACAGCACUGUGCAAACACGAAAGUGGACGUAUACGGUGUGACGCCUGCCCGGUGCCGGAAGGUUAAUUGAUGGGGUUAGCGCAAGCGAAGCUCUUGAUCGAAGCCCCGGUAAACGGCGGCCGUAACUAUAACGGUCCUAAGGUAGCGAAAUUCCUUGUCGGGUAAGUUCCGACCUGCACGAAUGGCGUAAUGAUGGCCAGGCUGUCUCCACCCGAGACUCAGUGAAAUUGAACUCGCUGUGAAGAUGCAGUGUACCCGCGGCAAGACGGAAAGACCCCGUGAACCUUUACUAUAGCUUGACACUGAACAUUGAGCCUUGAUGUGUAGGAUAGGUGGGAGGCUUUGAAGUGUGGACGCCAGUCUGCAUGGAGCCGACCUUGAAAUACCACCCUUUAAUGUUUGAUGUUCUAACGUUGACCCGUAAUCCGGGUUGCGGACAGUGUCUGGUGGGUAGUUUGACUGGGGCGGUCUCCUCCUAAAGAGUAACGGAGGAGCACGAAGGUUGGCUAAUCCUGGUCGGACAUCAGGAGGUUAGUGCAAUGGCAUAAGCCAGCUUGACUGCGAGCGUGACGGCGCGAGCAGGUGCGAAAGCAGGUCAUAGUGAUCCGGUGGUUCUGAAUGGAAGGGCCAUCGCUCAACGGAUAAAAGGUACUCCGGGGAUAACAGGCUGAUACCGCCCAAGAGUUCAUAUCGACGGCGGUGUUUGGCACCUCGAUGUCGGCUCAUCACAUCCUGGGGCUGAAGUAGGUCCCAAGGGUAUGGCUGUUCGCCAUUUAAAGUGGUACGCGAGCUGGGUUUAGAACGUCGUGAGACAGUUCGGUCCCUAUCUGCCGUGGGCGCUGGAGAACUGAGGGGGGCUGCUCCUAGUACGAGAGGACCGGAGUGGACGCAUCACUGGUGUUCGGGUUGUCAUGCCAAUGGCACUGCCCGGUAGCUAAAUGCGGAAGAGAUAAGUGCUGAAAGCAUCUAAGCACGAAACUUGCCCCGAGAUGAGUUCUCCCUGACUCCUUGAGAGUCCUGAAGGAACGUUGAAGACGACGACGUUGAUAGGCCGGGUGUGUAAGCGCAGCGAUGCGUUGAGCUAACCGGUACUAAUGAACCGUGAGGCUUAACCUU